Molecule: ribosomal RNA, 253 nt
Filed under: uncultured bacterium
Lineage: Bacteria
Description: partial 16S ribosomal RNA
Rfam family: Bacterial small subunit ribosomal RNA
Source: RNAcentral
UACGUAGGGGGCAAGCGUUGUUCGGAAUUACUGGGCGUAAAGGGCGCGUAGGCGGCAUGGCAAGUCGGAAGUGAAAGCCCGGGGCUCAACCCCGGAACUGCUUACGAAACUGCCAAGCUAGAGUACGGAAGGGGCAACUGGAAUUCCCAGUGUAGCGGUGAAAUGCGUAGAUAUUGGGAAGAACACCGGAGGCGAAGGCGGGUUGCUGGGCCGAUACUGACGCUGAGGCGCGAAAGCCAGGGGAGCAAACGGG